Manis pentadactyla (Chinese pangolin) is the source of this 6995-nucleotide long non-coding RNA. RefSeq lists it as uncharacterized. NCBI's taxonomy places the organism in Eukaryota, Metazoa, Chordata, Mammalia, Pholidota, Manidae. The record is from RefSeq and is a predicted model, not a curated record. The transcript is spliced from 2 exons.
GCGGGCUCGGGCGCGCCGUGUGCGGACUCCGGGCGCGUUAGGUGCGGGGGCACUGCCUGGCAGAUUGCGGGACGGGGGAUCGGAAACCGCUAGUGGGACGGGGCGACCCGGCUCAGGCCGCGGUGGCUGGGAAGGACGGAUAAGGGGCAUCUGGGAGGCAGCGGGCCACGAAGGUGGCCACAGAGAGGGAGUGUGUGGCUGCUUCCCAUUGCCUGCCCUCUGGGUGCGUCCUCCAGAGCCCGGGCUGCAAACUGCCCCCUCUCUUCUGGAAGAGACUGCUGAGUGCCCCCACGCAACGGAUACGCACGCUGAAUGUGCUGCCCUUAUGGGUGUCGGGGGCAGUUCUAGGUGGAAUAGGGUGGGGUUGGGGUCGCCCACCGAUCAAGGGGGCGCCUGGCCUGGGGAUCUUAGGGGAAAGGAUGGGCGUUCUCUCAGGUAAAUUACUCUCGCAGAGGCCGUUUUCUUUCCCGAGGCACCUUCAGUUUUGCGUUGGGCCAGCAACCUCUGACAAAGGUUCCGGGCUGAGGGUGCUCGCAUGCUUCAGCACCUGAGCGGAUUGCCCUGCGCGUGUAGGAUCUCGGCAGAGGGACCUGGGCCCGCGCGGCAGGGCUGUGCAGAAAAACACGUUCUUCUUUCCCGGGACAGCGGGGACCGUGUGACCUCCCUGAAAGUGGAUGAGGAAGAGGAAGCUGCCCCGGCACGGGUCGGGGCCAGCCUUGGGCAGCCCUCGGGAGUCAGGCAUUCCGCCCCAGCCCGGGAGCCCCAGCGCACAGGGGCUGAUGAAACCUGCCUGCGCGUUUGCAUGAUGAAAUCCUCGUGGCUCACCACUUCCCUCCCUUCCUCGCGCUGCCCUCACCCAUUCUGCCCUUCUUCCCUCCCCUCCACCUUCCUCCACGGCUCCUUCCCAAACUUCCCGAAGGCCCGGCCGCAGAUCCUGGCGCUCAGCGGCGCAGAGCGGGGGCGGGCGGGGCCGCUGCCUCUCCUGCGAGCAUCAGGGGCCACAUGCUUGUUUUCUCAGGCUGCUGACCCACCGCCAGCGUGGACAGCCAGAUCCGAGGUCUUGGGCGGUCUCAUCCAAAACAUACAACGUUAGCACUGUUAGGGAAUCUUAGAUGUUCUUGUCCAGCCGUGCCACCUCAUUCUACAGAAAGUGGACUGAGGUCCCAAACUUAAUAACACGUGUCUAUUGUCCAGUGACACACCGUUUUCCCAGAUUGAACAAGAAAUAGCAGCCAAGCAUUGAGGGGAGAAAUGAUCUCUUAAAACAAUCCAAGGAAAAAUUCCCAGCGACUCUUCCUACCACCCUUGACUCAAAUUCUCUUUCCCUGCUGGCCUUUUGCUUUCUCUGUGUCAUGAUGUGUCUACUAGGACCUUCCCUGACAAUGUUAGGGUUCCUUCAGGUGAGAGUGUGAAUCUCUGCCUGAUGUGUUCAGGGUGGGCACUGAGACAGGCCUGAAGGCCCUUUUUGGGGCCCUCUGUUGCUAGAUCCCUGGGGACCCAUCAGAUUGGAAUCAGCAGCCAGGGGCAGUGUUUAUAAGGAACUCUUACCCACUUCUCGCUUUGGACUGGAAAGUGUGUUUUUUUCCCAGACCACAGCGAGUCUCCCUCUCUUUGCAGUUCUUUAAGUUCUGAGAGAGGGGAACAGGACUCUGCGUCAGAGUGUACCUUGGUUUCUCAGGGCAGCUGGAAGGAACUGACUGAGCAGCACCAGGAACCUAAAGCCAGCCCUUGUCUGGGGUGUCCUGUGGGGCGGGCACAGCUCCCAAUCCUAACCCAGAGAAUCCUGGCUGGUUUCUGCCAAAGUCAGCCAGUCUGGCCUGCCUCAGUUAGCCAAGGCCUGGAGUCUUCCUCCUGAGCCCUCCUCUGCCAGGGCAAAGAAGCUUGACAUGAGAAAAGGUCAUCCUGCACACCCCUUUUGCUCCAGUCUAGAGUGCGGUUCGUACACCUGCAGUGUGCCUGCAGAUUACCUAGGCACCUCAUUUAAAUGCAAGUUCCGGUUCUCUAGGUUCUGGGUAGAGACUGAGUCUGCAUUUCUAACUAGCUCCCAGCAACUUGUCUAAGUGCCACACUCUGAGUACUCAGGAAUUAGUGGAAUGUGAUGUCCCUUCCCUUUUCAGACCUCUGGGGGCCAGCAGAAAGUGAUGUUUCUAUCCAGGUAAAUUCUUGAGGGUGGUUUUGCAUCAGCCUUUAAACCAGGGUCUGGACAGAGUGUCGGAAGAGGAGACCUGUGCUUUUUUAUUGGCAGGAGGUGUCAAAGCUAGUGGAGUGUGUCCAGUGGUCACUCUUGCUGGGAAUGGCCCUGCAGUGUUUGUCCCUGGAGGGAAAGGAGCAGCAGUUAAUUUGAGCCAUGUCCAUUCCUGUGAUUCCAGUUUACUCAUCAAAGCCUCUGUAGGCUGAGCCCCGACCUGAUCUUAGACAUCUGGAGCACCUUAGAGAAACUUGCUGGAGGGAGUGUUGUGUAGGAACAGUUGAGUCUGUAGAGUCCCCAGGGACAUCAUGAACUAGGAGAACCCCUGAAUGAGUCAGAAACAUUUCUCUGCCCUGGCUGCAGGCCCCAUCAACCUCCACAUUCCCUGUUGCAUGGUGGAUGUUUGACCCCAGCGCCUACCGGGGUCGUGUGGAUGGUAAGUCCUACCUAAGCCCUGUACCUGGAUAUGGUUAAACAGAGGUAGGCAGGUAGGGCUACAGGUGUUAGUGGUACUUUGUUUAGUUAGACAAACAAAGCCUGUGCCCAGGAAGCUUACCUUGGAGCAACUCCCAAGUCUUGGGCUGUGGGACAUACAGUGCUGGGAAGAGGGGGGAGGUGAGCUGGGUCCUGAAGCCAGAGCGCAGCAGGGCCUCCAGACCCGGGUCACGUGGGGCAGGGAGGCUACGCCUCAUGGAGUUGUGUCUAUAGCGACUAUGAUAAGACCAGCAGUCUCAUGAUUAAAGGCAGGCCAAAAGAACUUAUAAAGGUGGGGGGAAAAUAAAAAUGUUAAUAGAAGAAAAGCACCCAGAACUUGGACAUUAAGGCAAUGAAGGGAAUAUAAUUAGUUCUCUUUUCACACUGAUCUCAUCUUCCUUUUAAAGCACUUAGAAAAUUCCACACUGUGUUCCUCAUUAAAGACUUUGAGGGGUUGGGGCCCUGGUAUAGAGCACCCCAAACUCUUCUCCAAUGCUCACAAGCCAUGAAGACAUACUUGAAAUCGAAUUGUAAACAUCAAAGUCAUAUCUGUAGAAUGAAGCGGUUGGACAGCCAGCCCCCUCCCACCCCGUAUCCACUAGACGCGUAGGAUGCUCAGGUGGGCAUUGCCUGCUCCGAGUAGUCAGCCUGGGAAGGCCUGCAUUCUAAUAAUGCAGGAGUAGCUGUUAGAUUUUAAUUGCCUUCAGGGGCUUGCUUUUUUUUUUCUUUAUCUCAAUAUCCUCAAAGGUGGCAGGGCCUUAUUAGAAAGAGGCAUUUGAUUUUUUUAUUUUCCUGAAAGAGCAAAAAGUCCUUCAUUACCAAAUUUGGUGAGAUGACAGGCAGGGUAGCACCAUAUUUAUCUGUUGGUAUCAUGUAGUGAAGUGUUUUCUUAUAUGGGGUUUUAUUUGAUGUCAUUCCAGAAACAGCAGUAUUGAAAAAAGGGUUGCUUCCCAAGGGGCCAGUUUUAACGGAAAAUGUUCAUUGGUACACUUGGAUUUUGCAUUUUCAAACAAAUGAAACACGUGUUACUUGCUGGGCUUGCCAGGUCCCAGACAGUGUUCUUCCUCCGUUAUGAUUCAUAGCAAAUGAGUCACGUGUAUUUGUUGAUAUAUUUGCCCCUGGGUUAGGCAGGACCUUCUCUCAGAGCGGGGUUACUCAUCUUUGUAUUGCCACCAUUGAAUGCCUGUUCUGUGUUCAAAGGUGAGGAGUUGAAAAGAAUUUAGAAAUGGCAGCAUUCUCAGGGUAACCUAGUUUCUUCACCACCAGGCCUGGGUCUGAGCCGGCUCAAUGAUAAUGUUAAAUUUUAUUUUCUGUCCUUUCAGUUACAGGGUAUAAUUGUUUACCUUGGAAAGUCCCAGGGGCAGGAAUUAACUUUCUCUGAACUUUCCUACUUAUCCCAGGAUUACAGAUAAUAGCAUUACUGACUUUCUCAAUUAUUAUUGAGCAGAAAGUAGAAGGAAGUGGCUUUUUUAUACAGAACAAAUCCAUAUUGGGACCGGGGUCUCAGACAGUGGGAUUGCUGCUCCUCAUUGACUUUUGCACCAGCACCGCUACCGAGUCAGGAGUAGGUGACAUCUGCCCAUGGUGUUUGCAUGCUCAGGAGCAUGGGCAGUAGAAAGUUUCUUGUAAUCCAAUGUCUUUGCCUGUGAAAGUUCACUGAGAGAGCUCAGGUGUGAGACCGUGUAUCAGAGCUCACCAGCUGCUCAGAAAUACUUGGCUUGAUGAGAAUGGCUGUAUCGGUUAGCUAUUGCUGUGUCACAAGGUAACACAAAACUUAAUGACUGCAACCACAAUCAUCUGUUAUUUUUCUCCAUUCUUUGGACCUGUUGGACAUUUUUUGAUGAUCUGGUACUGAGCUCACUCAUCUGGCUGCAUGCAGUUGGCAGCUGGAUUGCCCUGGGCUAGAAGGUCCAAGACGACUUUACCCCCACGUCUGGGGUAUUGCUGGGGGCACCUGGAAGGCUGGGGACUCUCUCUGCCCUCUUGGUCUCAUGCCGUUCAGGAGUCUAACCUGAGUUAUUUUUAGGCAGUAUUCAAGGCCUCUGAAGGGCUUGGCCCAGAAGACACAUAGGGUCACUUAUGCAGUAUUCUGUGGUCAAAACAAGCCAUGGAGGCUAGCCCAGAUUCAAAGAGAGAGGACAUAACUGCCUUUGAAUGGGAGAAGCUGCGGGUGGGAACAGGGACAGGAGGAAUUAUGGGGCCCUGUUUCCAGACAAUCCUCCACAAGGGCCAAGCCUCAAAGGACGGUCCUUUGGGGGAAUGUAACUGCCCACCCGGCUGUGUGGCCAGCAGAGCCAAGACCAGGGGUAAAAGCAGACUGGAAUCACAAGCCUGUGACCGGACUGUUGGUUUAAGAUCAGAGGACACCUUCCUGAAACCACUGAAUCAGAUCCCAUGCCCCAUUUUGAGGCCUUACGUCCAGCUCCACAGAGCAAGCCAUGCACAUGGCCAUGUUGCCAGGCCACUGGGCCACACAUUCUGCUCGUGAUAUGCCUCCCUUUGCUGAAUGCCACCCAGCCCAUCUCCUCAUUCUGCUUCAAUCAGCCGAGCUUUGGGAACACCUUUCCGAGGAGGGCACGCUUGCUCUGCUCUGCCCAGCACUCCCGUUUGAACACCCCCAAUUUUCUGGAGUGCUGGCAGUGGAUGCAGUCACAUUUUCUGAGCCCAGUGGUGCAAAAGUGGGUAGGAGGGAGAAUACCAGGGGGUACAGGCCGACCCAGAACUCCCUUUGGCUUCCUGGUGACGCAUACAGUGUGCUCUUGCCUUAGAGUGUGUGUGUGUAAAUGGAUUUCUCUCUGAUGCUCUCAAGAAUAAAAGUGGGCCUAUACUAAUUUGCUAGGUUUAGCAUAAAAAAGCACCCCAGUCUUUGGGUAGCUUCAACAAGAGAAACUUAUUUUCUCUCAUUUCUGGAAGCUGAAAAUCCAAGAUCAUGGGACUAAGCAGGGUUGAGGCCCCAUCUGAGGCCCCUCUCCUUGGUUUGCACACGGCCACCCUCUUGCUGCCUCUGCUGCUAUCUGUUGUAUCCUGUCUUAGAAGGACACCAGCGUAUGAGAGCAGGUCCCACCCCAACAGCCUCCUUCUGACUUCAUGGCCUCUUUAGAGAGACCUUAUUGCCAAAUACGGUUACAUUGAGGUACAGGGGAUUGGGCCUUCAACACACAUUUGGGGGAAUAGAGUUCACAGAAAAGAAAGGGGCCCCCCACUUUCCAACCAAAUGUCUCUGUGAUAGCCUUGGCCCUCCUGCUUAAUUUUGAAAUACACUGGCCUGUUCCCCCACAUAUCAGGGCCUCGAAGGGAGAGACUAUCCAGAUGGACCCUCUGCCACUUGCUGAUCACUCCCAUUUGGUAUUCCAAGAGCUUCCUGAGAUUCCUGGUUGCUGAGAAACAUCCAGAUAUUGGUUCUCUUUGCAGAGCCAAAGGGGGCCAGAGUGGAAGAAAAGUCUCGAACCGAGCACACCGUUUCUCUCCCCAAGAUUUCCUCCAUGAGAACUUGGCUCUGGCUGCUGGACAGACUGCCUGUCAAGAAAAGCCGUCAGAUCCUAGUAGUGCCUGCCUGGUGUGUGGGGUGGCCCGGGAGACCCCUGCCAGGCCCUGUGGGUCUGCCCCCCAGGUCAAUACAGAGCUGCUAGUGAGAGCUGGAUUUAAAAUAACCCGGAGUAUUUUGUGCACAGGCCGCUGGCUUGCAUCUAAGCCCGAGUCCAGCUCCCCUUCCCCCUUCCCCCGUUGUGAAAUGCUCUCUCUUUCCCUGGAAUGGGAGCAGCCGUUCUAGGAAUUCUGUUCUUGUCCUCUUGCUGGGCCUCAGGUCUCACACUCAGGGAAGCGGGCUUCUGCCAGGGGAGGCCCAGGGGAAAGAAAGUGAGGGGUGAACGCAGCUCAGUUUACAGAAGGCCCGUCCAGCAGCACUUUGAACCUGCACGUGGGUUCUGCGGGGAAAUGGAGAAGAAACCAAGGCAGGCAUCUCCCAGGGAACAUCCUGUCCUGGCCAGACACUCAGGAGAAUAGGUAAAAGCCUGAAGCCCCUGGGAUUCUUCUAGCUGGCCUUGCUGGCUGAGGCACAUUAGCCCCAUCUGCCUUACUAAUUUCUUUCCUUUUUUUUUUUUCCUUGCUAAUUUUAAACAGAGGUUGGUGUUUAGGAUUGGAGGCAGGACAGGGUAGGGCUGACUCUGCAGGGCUGUGAGGGGACAGCCUUUCUGAGCCUCAGUUCCUGUCUGUAAGGAUGAAGACCUCUGGAAACUGGUUGCCCAACACUGUGAAUGCACUGAACCCUGCUGAACUGUACACUCAGAAACCCUUCAGAUGGGAAAUUUUAUGUUAUUUUUAUUUUGCCAUGAUU